RNAcentral lists this small RNA (75 nucleotides) under Xanthomonas nasturtii. RNAcentral describes it as "sX9 sRNA". It matches the Rfam family "Xanthomonas sRNA sX9". Lineage: Bacteria; Pseudomonadati; Pseudomonadota; Gammaproteobacteria; Lysobacterales; Lysobacteraceae. The record is from RNAcentral.
AUGUACCGCUCGUACACUCCGAUUCCCAUGCGCCAUCCACACCCACCUGACGGCUGCGCGUUACGUUGCAUAGAU